Molecule: ribosomal RNA, 775 nt
Filed under: uncultured Neocallimastigales
Lineage: Eukaryota; Fungi; Neocallimastigomycota; Neocallimastigomycetes; Neocallimastigales
Description: partial large subunit ribosomal RNA
Rfam family: Eukaryotic large subunit ribosomal RNA
Source: RNAcentral
CUAUACAUGACUCUGCGCAUAUCAAUAAGCGGAGGAAAAGAAACUAACAAGGAUUCCCUUAGUAACGGCGAGUGAAGCGGGAAGAGCUCAAAUUUGAAAUCUUCAAGGUUUUACCUUGACGAAUUGUAGUUUAAAGAAGUGUUUUCUGCUGAAGUUUUGGUAAAAGUUCUUUGGAAUAGGACAUCAUAGAGGGUGAGAAUCCCGUAUUUGACCAUUAUUUUCAGCUUUGUGAUACACUUUCAAAGAGUCGGAUUGUUUGGGAAUGCAGUCCAAAAUGGGUGGUAAAUUUCAUCUAAAGCUAAAUAUUGGCGAGAGACCGAUAGCGAACAAGUACCGUGAGGGAAAGAUGAAAAGAACUUUGAAAAGAGAGUUAAACAGUACGUGAAAUUGUCAAAAGGGUAGCGUUUGACACCAGUGUUGUUUUCUCGAAAAUCAAUUAAAAAUGGCUCGAUUUUGUAUUGCUUGAGACCUUAAAAGCUCACUGUACAUUUUUCGUGUCUUUUUUAAUGCACUUUUCGUUUAACAAGUCAACAUCAGUUUCUUUCGUUGUAAAAGGGUCAUUGGAAGGUGGCUUUCUUUUCGGAGAAAGUGUUUAUAGCCUUUGGCCUCUGCAAUCGGAGAGACUGAGGUCUGCAGCGUAGACUCUUCGGGGUUAGAUACAUUUGUGCUAAGUUAUAGCUUUUUAUAGACAACUUGUUGACUAUAAUUAGUCUUGUAGCUUACUCGCUUAUGCUAUUUUACCUACGCUUAGGAUGUUGAAGAUGUAGCACAUCAU